This 231-nucleotide long non-coding RNA is filed under the name Olea europaea (common olive). RNAcentral's name for it is "long non-coding RNA (OEUR_LNC003870)". Lineage: Eukaryota; Viridiplantae; Streptophyta; Magnoliopsida; Lamiales; Oleaceae. The record is from RNAcentral.
UUAAACACUCGUCCAACUAAAAAGUUCAAAAUUUGUAUCAAAAUUUCUCUGUUAUAAGGAAAAAAGUAAGGACUAAUCCUGAAGAUGAGUGGGCGAGAGCGUUGGGUUUGUUACUUCCAAUAGAGCGGCCGUUCAGCACUCAAGAUUGACGGUGCAGAAAAAAAACCCGUCUUCGGAAGAAGAGAUUUUCAAAAGACCAGGAAUGAGUUCGACAGCAACAUAAGCAAGCCA